Molecule: ribosomal RNA, 539 nt
Filed under: Geomyces sp. QLF42
Lineage: Eukaryota; Fungi; Ascomycota; Leotiomycetes; Thelebolales; Pseudeurotiaceae
Description: eukaryotic LSU rRNA
Rfam family: 5.8S ribosomal RNA (bases 176-329)
Source: RNAcentral
ACUCCGGUAGUCGCCGGUUUGCCGCAGGCCUCCCGGGUAACCUACCACCCUUUGUUUAUUACACUUUGUUGCUUUGGCAAGCCUGCCCUCGGGCUGCUGGCUCCGGCCGGCGAGCGCUUGCCAGAGGACCUAAACUCUGUUUGUUUAUACUGUCUGAGUACUAUAUAAUAGUUAAAACUUUCAACAACGGAUCUCUUGGUUCUGGCAUCGAUGAAGAACGCAGCGAAAUGCGAUAAGUAAUGUGAAUUGCAGAAUUCAGUGAAUCAUCGAAUCUUUGAACGCACAUUGCGCCCCCUGGUAUUCCGGGGGGCAUGCCUGUCCGAGCGUCAUUACAACCCUCAAGCUCAGCUUGGUGUUGGGCCCCGCCGUCCCGGCGGGCCCUAAAGUCAGUGGCGGUGCCGUCCGGCUCCGAGCGUAGUAAUUCUUCUCGCUCUGGAGGUCCGGUCGUGUGCUCGCCAGCAACCCCCAAUUUUUUCAGGUUGACCUCGGAUCAGGUAGGGAUACCCGCUGAACUUAAGCAUAUCAAUAAGCCGGAGGAA